RNAcentral lists this unclassified non-coding RNA (3372 nucleotides) under Hevea brasiliensis (rubber tree). The record is from RNAcentral. Lineage: Eukaryota; Viridiplantae; Streptophyta; Magnoliopsida; Malpighiales; Euphorbiaceae.
GGGAAAAGCGGGUCAGAUGGUACCACUUUCUACUUCUUAACUCCCAUAAUUAAAGCUCCCUCUCUCCGCUGGUUUCACUCUUUUCACACUAAUUCGUCCUGCCAGCUCUUCACCCAGAUCCAGGAGAUGCUUUUUCAUUGAUGAUGAUAACUGACAGUCACUUUUUAGUUGGAAUGUGUGAAUAAUAGUGCUGAAGACUUUUAAGUUGGAAAAGCAGGUUAAGCAUCCCUUCAGUUGUGCAAUGUUGCUUUUGACAGUUUGAGGUCUCAAAAAGUUGAGAGUAGAAGAUGGAGGAGAUACAGUCUCAAUCAGAUAAUUAUAGAUCUUCUUCGUCUUCAGCCAGUAGUCCUGCAAGCAGGGUGCCUUCAAGUAACUUUUUUUACUUGCGGAAGCCUGGUUCACUUAGACAACCAAUCUCAUUUGAGGAUUCACCAGAAUGGGAGGAUACAGAUGUCGAUGUUAGGGUGGAGGAAGGAGGUGACUCUAUCAAUGUUGCUGCAACACCAGCGUCCCCAUGUCUAUCAAAGCUUAAUAGUGGGUCAUUGCCAUCACCGCCAUUACCAGAGAAUGCAGUUGUUGCGAGAAAGAUUGCGGGAUCUUCCGUUGUCUGGAAAGACUUGACUGUUACAAUCAAGGGUAAAAGGAAGUACUCUGAUAAAGUUGUAAAGAGCUCAAGUGGUUAUGCACUGCCAGGGACGAUGACAGUAAUCAUGGGUCCUGCAAAGUCAGGGAAAUCUACAUUGUUGCGGGCUAUUGCAGGAAGAUUACAUCAUUCAGCCAAAAUGUAUGGUGAAGUAUUUGUGAACGGCACAAAAUCACACUUGCCUUAUGGCUCAUAUGGUUUUGUUGAAAGGGAAACUACUCUGAUUGGGUCCCUCACCGUCCGAGAACACCUAUACUACUCUGCACUGCUUCAACUUCCUGGUUUCUUCUGUCAGAAAAAGACUGUGGUAGAGGAUGCCAUCCAUGCCAUGUCCUUGAGUGAUUAUGCAAAUAAAUUGAUUGGAGGCCACUGUUAUAUGAAGGGCAUUCCUAAUGGUGAGAGAAGGCGUGUUAGCAUUGCCCGGGAGCUGGUGAUGAGGCCCCAUAUCUUAUUUAUAGAUGAGCCUCUUUAUCAUCUUGACAGUGUCUCUGCUCUUCUGAUGAUGGUUACAUUAAAGAAACUUGCAAGCACUGGUUUCACUCUUAUCUUUACCAUUUACCAGAGCAGUACUGAAGUAUUUGGCCUCUUUGAUCGGAUCUGCCUGCUAUCAAAUGGAAAUACGUUAUUUUUUGGAGAAACUUUGGCUUGCUUGCAGCACUUCUCAAAUGCCGGAUUUCCUUGCCCAAUUAUGCAAAGUCCUUCUGAUCACUUCUUACGUGCAAUAAACACUGAUUUUGACAGGAUAAUUGCAAUGUGCAAAAAUUGGCAGGAUGACCAUGGAGACUUUUCAUCAGUGAAUAUGGAUACUGCUGUUGCCAUUCGUACCUUAGAAGCAACAUAUAAAUCAUCAGCAGAUGCUGCUGCAGUUGAAACAAUGAUAUUGAAACUCACAGAAAAGGUAUGAAUGAAAGUUUGCAAACUCCUUUCGUUAGACUAUUAUUUGGCCUAUACCCAUUCUGAGCCUUUGUUGUGCACAUUGUUAUUGACUCCCAUGGGGCACUUGGAGUUUCUUGUUGUCAGGAUGUUGUUGGUUCAUGCCUUGAUUGGUUGCAGAUGGAAUAGAAUCUUUGCACUUUUGUUACCAUAAUACUGUGGUUGUGUCAUCACAAGCAGUGCAGCGUAUUUGGACCCAAAUUUCCUGGAUUGAUCCAUAAUGCUUGGAGGAAAAGGGCUUGGUUCAUGAUGAUUAAAACAUAUGACUAUCAUGAUAUCAUCAGCCUCAACUAACCUGUUAUCUGUUUGUGCAUGCACAUUUGUGUUAGUUUUCUUGUCUGUUUCUGGUUUCAAUGAAGAUGCAAGUAAUAAAUUUCAUUCUGAAGCAAAAUUUUAAAUCUGAGGAAUGCCAUCAACAAUUACAUUUCCUGCGUUAGAUUUUAAUCAGUCAUUUUGCUCUUUGCAUUGAAUGUAAACUGAAGUGAAGCUGUGAAAGCACUACUGCAUGCAAGGGUCCACUAAAGCCUAGCUUUUAGUCUUCAAUAACUGUUGUCAUAUGUGAUCACUUAUGCAGGAGGGUCCGUAUCUUAAAAGCAAGGGAAAAGCUAGCAGUGCCACAAGGAUUGCAGUUUUGACAUGGAGAUCACUGUUAAUUAUUUCGAGGGAGUGGAAAUACUACUGGCUUCGUCUUAUUCUUUGUAUGCUUCUCACACUCUGUAUUGGAACAGUAUUUUCUGGCCUGGGGCAUUCUUUGUCUUCCGUUGUGACAAGGGUCGCGGCAAUAUUCACAUUUAUAUCAUUUACUUCACUUCUAAGCAUUGCAGGAGCACCUUCGCUUCUUAAGGAAAUCAAGAUAUAUGCCAGUGAAGAAUCAAAUAAGCAUUCUGGGGCAUUAGUCUUUUUACUUGGGCAGCUUCUCUCCAGCAUCCCAUUUCUUUUUCUCAUCUCCAUUUCAUCAAGUCUAGUCUUCUAUUUCCUUAUAGGGUUGCGAGACGAAUUCAGCUUGUUAAUGUACUUCGUUUUGAAUUUCUUCAUAUGUCUCUUAGUAAAUGAAGGACUAAUGCUGCUUAUCACUGCCCUUUGGCAACAUGUUUUCUCGAGUGUCUUGAUGCUGGUAUUAAUACAUGUGGUAAUGAUGCUUUCUGCAGGAUAUUUUAGAAUUCGAAAUGCUUUGCCAGGACCAGUAUGGACAUAUCCAAUAUCCUAUAUUGCUUUUCACACAUACUCUAUUCAGGGACUUUUGGAGAAUGAGUACCUGGGGACUUCAUUUGCUGUUGGGGAAGUGAGGACCAUUUCUGGGAUUCAGGCCCUCCGAAGUGCAUACGAUAUCUCUUCUGACAGUAAUUCCAAAUGGGAGAAUCUGUUGUUAUUGUUUCUCAUGGCAAUUGCAUAUCGUAUACUAGUGCUUAUUGUACUGUAUUUUCAUGUUGGAAAGAAUGAAUCUACACCUAAGUUUUUCCAGUGCAAUCAGGAUACAAGCAAUCCAAGAUGAAUGGAAUUUGCACUGCUAGUGUUGUUUCUGUUCAAGCUGUAUGAUUCCCUUUUACCGUGCCCUGCUUCUCACAGUUGGAAAUUAAUGAUGAAAUACGGAAACGCAUAGUAUUACACCAUCAUAUAUGUUUUCAGGUCUGUCUUCUCUGGGGUGGUUAGCCUGGAUUGUAUGUUGUACCAAUUUCUUUAAUGGUUUUUCAAGUGGGUGUAAAUAUACGCCCAUUAACUUUCAUUUAAUGUUAAUGAGAUGCUGCUUAGUAAUCAGUCAUCCAAUCUAAUAUAUUUUAUAAUGCAUAAAAUUAAUU